This 43-nucleotide small nuclear RNA is filed under the name Cervus elaphus hippelaphus. Lineage: Eukaryota; Metazoa; Chordata; Mammalia; Artiodactyla; Cervidae. The record is from RNAcentral.
AUCGCUUCUCAGCCUUUUGGCUAAGAUUGAGUGUAAGUACCUG